CUUAGUGGCGAACGGGUGAGUAAUACAUAAAUAAUCUGCCCAUUGGACUGGGAUAACUGUUGGAAACGAUAGCUAAUACCGGAUAGGUGAUUUGAAGGCAUCUUCGAAUCAUUAAAGUAGGGUCACUACACCAAUGGAUGAGUUUAUGGCGCAUUAGUUAGUUGGCGGGGUAACGGCCCACCAAGACGAUGAUGCGUAGCCGACCUGAGAGGGUGACCGGCCACACUGGGACUGAGACACGGCCCAGACUCCUACGGGAGGCAGCAGUAGGGAAUUUUCGGCAAUGGGCGCAAGCCUGACCGAGCGACGCCGCGUGAGUGAUUAAGGCCUUCGGGUUGUAAAGCUCUGUUGUAAGGGAAGAACAUUCAGGAUAGGAAAUGAUCUUGAACUGACGGUACCUUACCAGAAAGCCACGGCUAACUACGUGCCAGCAGCCGCGGUAAUACGUAGGUGGCAAGCGUUAUCCGGAAUUAUUGGGCGUAAAGGGUGCGUAGGCGGUUUAUUAAGUCUAUGGUGAAAGUGCGGGGCUCAACCCCGUAUGGCCAUAGAAACUAGUAGACUUGAGUGCAGGAGAGGGCAAUGGAAUUCCACGUGUAGCGGUAAAAUGCGUAGAUAUGUGGAGGAACACCAGUGGCGAAGGCGGUUGCCUGGCCUGUAACUGACGCUGAGGCACGAAAGCGUGGGGAGCAAAUAGGAUUAGAUACCCUAGUAGUCCACGCUGUAAACGAUGAAUACUCACUGUUGGAGAAAUUCAGUGCUGCAGUUAACGCAAUAAGUAUUCCGCCUGGGGAGUAUGCACGCAAGUGUGAAACUCAAAGGAAUUGACGGGACCCCGCACA
Molecule: ribosomal RNA, 839 nt
Filed under: uncultured bacterium
Lineage: Bacteria
Description: bacterial SSU rRNA
Rfam family: Bacterial small subunit ribosomal RNA
Source: RNAcentral